Molecule: long non-coding RNA, 482 nt
Filed under: Phascolarctos cinereus (koala)
Lineage: Eukaryota; Metazoa; Chordata; Mammalia; Diprotodontia; Phascolarctidae
Description: lncRNA (ENSPCIG00000014590.2)
Source: RNAcentral
GCGGGGGGCCCGAGACCCUCCGUGACGUCGGGCCCGGGGACCCCUGCGGGUUUCCCUCGCCCAGGCUCGAGGGGGCUCUGGGGCUGCCCCCUUCCCCCCUGUCCAGUCACAGACAGCUCCAUGCAUCCCCCCCUGAUCUGGAAAGCUCCCCCAGAGCUCUGGCAUCCUUCAAGUAAACCCAGCCUGCCAGAGAGAAUUGGGGAGGGGGUGUUAUAGAUUCCCAUCAUGUCCGUACCCCAAACCCUCCUAAAGCAUCGCCUAUCCGGGCCGAGAAGUGGGAAGGCCUCAUCAUUUCAUCACCUCUCCUAAUUGGUUCAUCACGUCCCUCUUCAGUUCGUCCUCCACACGACUGGCAAAAUGAUUUAGCGUCUCAAGGCGACUCUCCUCAGCUCAAUAAACUCCUUAGCUCCCCUUCACUACCUAGCUGCCCUCAUACCGAACUGGCACACAAAAGGCUUUUAAUAAAAGCUUACUGAUUGAUU